This 417-nucleotide long non-coding RNA is filed under the name Polistes fuscatus (common paper wasp). RNAcentral's name for it is "uncharacterized LOC122524134". Lineage: Eukaryota; Metazoa; Arthropoda; Insecta; Hymenoptera; Vespidae. The record is from RNAcentral.
AUUAACACAAUUUAUAAAAUAAUAGACUAACCUAAUUCUUCAUGAACUAGAUUUUGCACGUGAUCGAGAUUCAACAUGACACCAAUUCCACCUGCACUGCUACCAGCAAGUAGCAAGGAGCUUGCAUUCUCAAGGCCAAGUGGUAGCAAAUCUCGGACAACCUGCGAGACGAUCUCAGCUCCCAUAAAGGAGAACAUAUCGUUUGGCGAGCUUCUCGUACCACUCCAGCUGUCGCUGGUACAAUAUGAUAGGUACGCAAGGUUAUCGCGAUGGACAAUACCUACACGUGAUUCGCGUUCCACCAGAAUGGAUUCUCUUCCGGAUUUCCUGAUAACAAUCCACCAACUGAAAUAAUUGGAUGACACACAUAAAAUAACGACUAAAUUAAAACUACAUAUUUGUUAAAUUCAAUCAAAA